CUUUGCAGUAAGAGUGUCCACUUGUUCCAGUUCUGUCCAAAGACAGCUAAGCAGAGGUCCGAAGUGGAGAUUCAUAUCAAGUAUUGCUUUUCUGAAAGGAGGGUCCAGAUGUGGCUGGCUCCUCACCCUCCCGCUUCCUGCCUGAAGUGAACUCCAUUGCCCUUCUGUGGCUCCACAGUGCAGGUAUUCUUGCCUGGGCUAUGGCUCCUGCUGCCUAGAUGAUACCUUUUGGGGGACUUCUAAAAAACGUGCAUAGGUAAAGCAACCCACACACCAUUAACUGGCACCUACUCUAAGUCCGGCAGUGGAUGACUUGAAACAGAGUUCAACAAAGAUGGGGAACUGCCUCCCUCUCCAGGAGCCUCUUCUAAAUUUGGAUCACUUGUGCCAGCCUGGAGAUCACCAAAAAGUCCUCCUGAAAAUCACCUGCAAAUGCCUGGCCCAGCCCUGGGAGAGGUGCAAAGGGAAUGAGAAGGAAGGGUGACCCUGCCUGCCUUACCAGUUAUGGCAAGGAGCAAUCUAAGAGGUGUGACUCGGCCCGGGGAUGCAGAAGGACUAAGGUGGCACCAGGUCUCGUCAGCACAUUAGUUCCACCUCACUUGUCACAUAAACAUGAAGUCUGUUCAGGGCGAGGUGUCAGCUGCAGGGUGCUCACCACCCAGAGUGUGGUUCUGUGUGGGGCAACAUCAGCAUCCCUGAGAUCUUGUCCGAGAUGCUGACUCUCUGACCCAUCCCAGACCUGCUGAACCAGAAUCUGCACUUUAACAAGAGCCCCAAGAGAUCUGUGCACUCAUUAAAGUUCAAAAAGCUCUG
This is a long non-coding RNA of Marmota monax (woodchuck), 813 nucleotides long. RefSeq lists it as uncharacterized. Lineage: Eukaryota; Metazoa; Chordata; Mammalia; Rodentia; Sciuridae. The transcript has 4 exons. The record is from RefSeq and is a predicted model, not a curated record.